RNAcentral lists this ribosomal RNA (253 nucleotides) under uncultured bacterium. RNAcentral describes it as "partial 16S ribosomal RNA". It matches the Rfam family "Bacterial small subunit ribosomal RNA", at positions 524 to 776 of the family's 1533-position model. The record is from RNAcentral.
UACGGAGGGGACUAGCGUUGUUCGGAAUUACUGGGCGUAAAGCGCACGUAGGCGGAUUUGUAAGUCAGGGGUGAAAUCCCGGGGCUCAACCUCGGAUCUGCCUUUGAUACUGCAAAUCUCGAGUCCGGAAGAGGUGAGUGGAAUUCCUAGUGUAGAGGUGAAAUUCGUAGAUAUUAGGAAGAACACCAGUGGCGAAGGCGGCUCACUGGUCCGGUACUGACGCUGAGGUGCGAAAGCGUGGGGAGCAAACAGG